This is a long non-coding RNA of Panthera uncia (snow leopard), 592 nucleotides long. RefSeq lists it as uncharacterized. The record is from RefSeq and is a predicted model, not a curated record. Lineage: Eukaryota; Metazoa; Chordata; Mammalia; Carnivora; Felidae. The transcript is spliced from 3 exons.
UCUCGGUCCCCUAUUACAGUAGUCUUGAUCUCUAUUUCAAUAAUCUUGAGUAGUUUUCCUCACUUGUUUAACUCUGUCCAGUGUUCCAUGUUCUCUUUGACAGCUUCCACCAUGGGAACAAGCCCAGACGUGGCUGCCAGAAGAUAAGAGACCAUGUGGAACAAGGCUAAGUCCUUCCUGCCAAGGCCACCCUAGACCAGCCUGCCCGUAGUGACUGCAGACGCAUAAAUGAGCCUGGAUGAGAUCAGCUGAGCUCCGCUUAGGAGCUGGCUCCCCCAGUACUGCCAACACCCCCACUGAGGAGACAAAGCGACCGCCGCUUGGUGUGGUGGGCAGGAGGGAAGUGCAGUGAAGCUUGGUUUUCAGAGGAGGGGAGACAAGCCCAGAAUGCAUCAGGACUCGGAAGCUGGGUUUGAGAAGAAGAAAAAGAAAUACAAGAGAGUUUGCCCUUCUCUUUGCUCUCUGCCACACGAGAAUACAGUGAGAAGAUGGCUUUCUGCAAACCAGAAAAGAUUGCCCUCACCAGUCACCAGAUAUGCCGGUGCCUUGCUCUUGGACUUCCCAGCCUCCAGAACUGAGAAAUAAAUGUUUG